This 1146-nucleotide long non-coding RNA is filed under the name Capra hircus (goat). RNAcentral describes it as "lncRNA (ENSCHIG00010012431.1)". The record is from RNAcentral. Lineage: Eukaryota; Metazoa; Chordata; Mammalia; Artiodactyla; Bovidae.
CGAAAGGCAAACUGAAACCACAAAAACCAUGAGCUCUCUCACUACAGCGGUCCUAGGCGAAGAGGAGGGUAUCAGUCUUGGGGACGGGGUAGAGCAGGGAGACACAGAAAUAAUACCCUGGGUUCAAAGAAGCUGAAAAGAAGGGACUGAGACCUCUAUAUAUACUCUCAUGAAAGAGUGGUCUAGGGGGGGAAAAAAAUCUAACCACCAACAGAGAAGACAACAUAAAAUCUUGUGUCAAUUUAGGUUGGAGGGAGAAAAAAAGAUGUCCAAUGGGAGUCUGUAACUAGGACUGCCCUCAAACCAGUCUCAGGUUGAAAUACAUACUUACAAACUUACUUACUUACAUGGUCUAAGAAAUUAACCAAAACUAAAGUGGUCCCAAGCAAGGGAUGCUUCUGCAUUGCCUAGAAGUAAAUUUAUAACAUCUCUUGGAUAUACCUCAACCAGGACCACUAAGAUAAAGCCUUACUGAAGAUGAGCUCAUAAUUCAAAAGUACAGAGGAGGGACGACUCACAAAAGCAAGAGUCGAGAGGGCCAGAUUCCUAAAGCUCUACCUGCACCGUGAAGAGAGAACACCCAUGCAGGGAUGUAUCAGAAGGACAAAGGCUCCCUUCUGCUCUGUAGCCUGACAGACAAGGGGACCAUUCCUGGGGUAGGCCAGUUACCUGCCCAGGAAACUGAUAGUACUGUUGCCUCAAAGCCUCUUCUUCUCAAAAACAAAAGAAGUGGGGCCAAUGGGCACUGGGUGUUAAGCAACUCUAUAGACAAAAGGUCUGAAUCUCAACAGAAGAGAACCUGAGCCUGAGGAAGCACAACCUUUAUACAUGUUCAUGAGGCUCAAUCCUGGCAAGUUAUGUAGACUUCCCAAAGCAUCCGAGACUGCGCUGGACAGGAGGGAAAAGUCCCCUUUGUUCUCCUCUCUGGACACUGCCUUCAGGCGUCCUACACCCUCCAUUAUCAUCAACAAAAUGGGAAGAAAUAAAGCUUCCUUCAUUCGGAUUGGUAACAAGGAAUCAAACACAGGAUCCUCGUGUUUCCUAACAACAUCCUAUUAUAAACACGCACUACAUGCUCCACAAAGCUGUGGCUGCUCCCUUUUAACUCUUUUUUACCCCCUCUUUAUAACAUCAUAUCUGGGCUAG